AGCAGCCGCGGUAAUUCCAGCUCCAAUAGCGUAUAUUAAAGUUGUUGCAGUUAAAAAGCUCGUAGUUGAAUUUCGGGGUCAAUAAGUUGGUCAUGCCAAUGGUAUGCACUGGCUUUAUUGAUUCCUACCUCUUGACGAACUGUGAUGCCAUUAAUUUGGUGUUGCAAGGAAUCGGGACUGUUACCUUGAAAAAUUAGAGUGUUUAAAGCAAGCUUACGCUUGAAUACAUUAGCAUGGAAUAAUGAAAUAGGACGUUUGAUCCUAUUUUGUUGGUUUCUAGGAUCGACGUAAUGAUUAAUAGGGAUAGUUGGGGGCAUUAGUAUUCAAUUGUCAGAGGUGAAAUUCUUGGAUUUAUUGAAGACUAACUACUGCGAAAGCAUUUGCCAAGGAUGUUUUCAUUAAUCAAGAACGAAAGUUAGGGGAUCGAAGACGAUCAGAUACCGUCGUAGU
RNAcentral lists this ribosomal RNA (450 nucleotides) under uncultured Glomeromycotina. RNAcentral describes it as "SSU rRNA". It matches the Rfam family "Eukaryotic small subunit ribosomal RNA", at positions 569 to 1024 of the family's 1831-position model. The record is from RNAcentral. Lineage: Eukaryota; Fungi; Glomeromycota.